Molecule: ribosomal RNA, 253 nt
Filed under: uncultured bacterium
Lineage: Bacteria
Description: partial 16S ribosomal RNA
Rfam family: Bacterial small subunit ribosomal RNA
Source: RNAcentral
AACGUAGGAGACAAACGUUAUCCGGAGUUACUGGGCGUAAAGGGCGUGCAGGUGGUCUGUUAAGUCUGGCGUGAAAGCUCCUGGCUAAACCGGGAGAGGUCGUUGGAUACUGGCGGACUAGAGGACGGUAGAGGCGUGUGGAAUUCCGGGUGUAGAGGUGAAAUUCGUAGAUAUCGGGAGGAACACCUGUGGCGAAGGCGGCCAUCUGGACGUCAACUGACGCUGAGACGCGAAAGCAUGGGGAGCAAACAGG